UACGUAGGGGGCAUGCGUUGUCCGGAUUUACUGGGUGUAAAGGGCGCGUAGGUGGACUUGUAAGUCAGAGGUGAAAGCCUGCAGCUCAACUGCAGAACUGCCUUUGAUACUGCAAGCCUUGAGUGCAGAAGAGAGAAGCGGAAUUCCAGGUGUAGUAGUGAAAUACGUGGAUAUCUGGAAGAACACCAGUUGCGAAGGCGGCUUCUUGGUCUGUUACUGACACUGAGGCGCGAAAGCGUGGGGAG
RNAcentral lists this ribosomal RNA (245 nucleotides) under uncultured bacterium. Its description in RNAcentral is "partial 16S ribosomal RNA". It matches the Rfam family "Bacterial small subunit ribosomal RNA", at positions 524 to 768 of the family's 1533-position model. The record is from RNAcentral.